This 73-nucleotide transfer RNA is filed under the name Paracoccaceae bacterium. RNAcentral's name for it is "tRNA-Gly". It matches the Rfam family "tRNA". Rfam says of the family: Transfer RNA (tRNA) molecules are approximately 80 nucleotides in length. Their secondary structure includes four short double-helical elements and three loops (D, anti-codon, and T loops). The record is from RNAcentral. Lineage: Bacteria; Pseudomonadati; Pseudomonadota; Alphaproteobacteria; Rhodobacterales; Paracoccaceae.
UGCUUCAGUGGUGUAGUGGUAACAUUAAUCGCUUCCAACGAUUAGCCUCGGGUUCGAUUCCCGGCUGGAGUAU